This 253-nucleotide ribosomal RNA is filed under the name uncultured bacterium. RNAcentral describes it as "partial 16S ribosomal RNA". It matches the Rfam family "Bacterial small subunit ribosomal RNA", at positions 524 to 776 of the family's 1533-position model. The record is from RNAcentral.
UACGGAGGAUCCGAGCGUUAUCCGGAUUUAUUGGGUUUAAAGGGUGCGUGGGCGGUUUGAUAAGUUAGAGGUGAAAUGUCGGGGCUCAACCCCGAAACUGCCUCUAAUACUGUUGGACUAGAGAAUAGUUGCGGUAGGCGGAAUGUAUGGUGUAGCGGUGAAAUGCUUAGAGAUCAUACAGAACACCGAUUGCGAAGGCAGCUUACCAAACUAUAUCUGACGUUGAGGCACGAAAGCGUGGGUAGCAAACAGG